This 65-nucleotide ribosomal RNA is filed under the name Mentha gattefossei. The record is from RNAcentral. Lineage: Eukaryota; Viridiplantae; Streptophyta; Magnoliopsida; Lamiales; Lamiaceae.
GCAUGCAUCGUCUAUAAGGCAAUAAAGUGACUUGUUAUUAUGUUGUGCGAUCAUACCAGCACUAA